CCUUCCUCUCCGUACUGCAUAAUUCUCUAAAUGAAACGGGGUUUAUUCCUUUAAGGAAGAAUGCCCCUCUUACCCCCACUCCAUUAAACGGUCACUAUAGCAACAAUUUUCCUUUGACUUCCAAGUAAAGCAAAUUAAUUUUAAUUCGAACUUCCUUAACACUACCGUGCGCCCCUUCUUAAGCGCCACAUAACGUGGUGUGUGGAAAUGCCAUAUUUUCAAUUUAAUAAAAAAUUGAAGGCAUUUACUAGUAAUGUUCACUAGUUGCCUACCCAUUUGAAAUAAAAAAAGGUAGCACACGAGGAAGAAAAAUAUGACUAGUGUCUCGCAGGAAAAUACACUAUGCAGGUAUAAAACUCUGACGGCACGAUUGAGGUAUUCAAUCAUGUGUUUUGUUUCCGAGAAAUAUCUUUUUUUUUCUUAUUUAACAUUUUCAGUGUUGUUUUUUUAUAAUCGUAUUUCCGGUAAAUUCAAGUUGCGUGACUUCUGUUAGCAGUUACCAGCUCAGCUAGUACAAAAUUGGUGAAAUAAGCUCAUUUUCUAUUUGAUUUGUUUGUUGUUGUUUAUAGCGUUGUGUAAGAAAAGUAGCUGGGACUGUUUUAUGGUGAUUGCGUAGAAAAAAUAAACUUAUUACACCACCGAUCCUGAUUGCGACAACUGCUCGGAUGACAAUUUUCUAACUUUCCUUGACUAACUGACACUUUCCUAACUGAAUCCAUCGCAUCAGCAAGCCCGGUUUGUCCAUCAUUCAACAUGCAUUUCUAGGUUACUUAUCGACAAUAAUUAUUUAAUUUGUUAUAUAUAGAAGAAUAAUAUGGGGGGGGAAAUCUCAAAUUCAGCAACUUGCUGCAUUUCAGAGAAUUUUGAUCUCCAUGCUGAUGGGUUGGUCCCCAUGGUCUGCUGAUCACAUACAGUAGGAGUUAAUGAUUAUUAUUGACAAAUGUAACUGGUAUAAACAAACUUUUUAUGAUGGUAUGAACUGAUGGUUUGUUCACUGGUAUAAACAAAAUUUUGUCAACACUUAGACUGUAGAAUGACUAUGUUGUUCUGCUGUUUGGACAUAUUAGGCACAAGUAAAGAAAUGUUAAAUAAUUAAUUAGAACAAAGUGAGAGUUAUAAUAAAUGUGACUUGAAAGGAAACUUUUUAAAGAGUGGCCUCUAGCGUUAGUCCUGUGAAGAUACACUUUGUUCGGCUUAGUUCGGCUUCGAUUUCCUUAAUAAAACAUGAACUACUUUUUUAAAUCUAAUUUUGCCAUAAAUAUAGUACAGUAAAACAGGAGAUGUGAAUUCAGAAAGGAAAAUACGAAUGGGUGCUUAUCAGACAGAAAUUAGUAUUUUCCCAGAAACGAUGUUCUAAUGUCAUUAUUGGGCACGAAGAAGACGUGCUAUUUUGUUACAUGCCCUCAUUAUGGAGAGCAUCUGUACCAUCUGUUUAUCAAUUAAUGAAUGAGUUAACCCUCUCUUAUCUCAUACCGCAACCAGUGACCCAUCUAUUGUGAAUGAAAUGGCACCAAUCUGUGGCAUUUCUUCAGCUAAACUUUGGGAUCCUUUUCUUGUGGUGUAAAAUGUAAAUUAUUUCCUAUGUACGGGCACUGUUGUAGACGAGCAGGAGCCUCGAGAUCCUGGCCGAAUGCUGACAGGUACCUGCGUUUACAUUAAUCCCUGGCUUGAUGUUUCACAGUAAAGGCUGCGGAUUCAUAACCUUUCAGCUGUGAACUGCUGUCUGGCAAAGUGAUGCUUGGCUUGGGCCAUCAAGAGAAAAUUGUAAUUGCUGGGAAGAAAUGGAAAAAUAAAUAGCAAGAACACAGAUAAAAUCUUCAUGCAACCUCUGGUCAAAAAUCUGCAUGGAUUGACGACUUGUGAAGGUCUUUGGUGUCUGUAUUGGUCUUCUUUCCGCCCUUGGGACUCUGCUGGAUGGUCAAGUUUCAUGCACACUGGUGUGACUUGAGAUUCUGUCCAUGCUGUCACGUCCCGGGAGACAUCGCUUCCAACCUUAAGCCAGUAACCAUGGCAACCCACAGCCAAAUGGCAGCGCCCUAAGGAACUGUAAUGAUGGGGGAUGUCUCAGCUGUCAGCUGCCCCAUCAGCCAAUCCUGCAUUUAUAAUGUGGGCCAGAUUACAGAAGUGUUUGGAGGCAAGACUGUCCAUAUUACAAGAGCUUGAUCAACAGCUAAGUAACUGUGUUUAAAAUCGGGUUAAAUGGUACAAUUGCAGUUAGUAUUUUGAUGUACUGAGUUAUCUCCUCUGUGCUUACUGUGGUCAAAAUUUUAAUUAACAUCAUGCAGGAUGGGGAUAUGGCAGUCCAUCACAGGACACACUGUCACACAAUACAGGAAAAUUAUUGACACCAGUUCACGUAACUGACUUUAUUUAAGAAAAACUAAACAUGGAGAAUGUGCACACUCUAUGCAUGCAGGAUUUAAACCCUGA
This is a long non-coding RNA of Brienomyrus brachyistius, 2430 nucleotides long. RefSeq lists it as uncharacterized. The record is from RefSeq and is a predicted model, not a curated record. The transcript has 3 exons. NCBI's taxonomy places the organism in Eukaryota, Metazoa, Chordata, Actinopteri, Osteoglossiformes, Mormyridae.